GGAGGCUUUUGGCUGCAAAGGGAAGUGUUCCAAUAGGAAUUGGCAGGAAUUCACACAUCAAAAGAGCAAUCAUUGACAAGAAUGCUCGUAUUGGGAAUGAUGUGAAGAUCAUUAACCGUGAAAAUGUUCAAGAAGCAGCUAGGGAAACUGAAGGAUAUUUCAUUAAAAGUGGAAUCGUCACAAUCAUCAAGGAUGCAUUGAUUCCCAGUGGAACCAUCAUGUAGAAGUAUUUGAAAAUCAUGUGUACAUGAUUACUGUAGUGUAGUUGUUAGACAGACUAAUGAUGCAUCUUGUUAAACCUUUCAUUUUAGUUUUGAACUUUUAAAUAAUAAAGCAUCACCGUCAUUUCUAUACUGCUUUUUU
Molecule: long non-coding RNA, 363 nt
Organism: Ipomoea nil (Japanese morning glory)
Lineage: Eukaryota; Viridiplantae; Streptophyta; Magnoliopsida; Solanales; Convolvulaceae
Exons: 2
Source: RefSeq, a predicted model, not a curated record